UCUUCUCCAAGUACAAGGAUUCAUCAUCCUCUGUGAAGCCCAGAUAGUCAUUUAUGGUCUUGCCAUAAAAUUUUACCUUUAAGUUCGCACUUUGGUGACUGUGGUGUCCUUUUUUAUAUAGGCCACAUUUGUGUAGAACUCCUUUAUCAAGUGCUCAUUGGCCCCCUCUACCUGCCCUAUCAGAUACUCCCAUCCAUCUAUCUCUAUGAACUGCCUUAACACAUUAGUGUUGUGAGGCUCGAGGUCAUUUAUAUUAAAUUUACACUCCGGUAUUAGCUUUCUCUCGGGCCACCACUCUCUGAACUUGUGGUAGGAAAUCUUAAUCACAAACAAG
Molecule: long non-coding RNA, 334 nt
Filed under: Nicotiana benthamiana
Lineage: Eukaryota; Viridiplantae; Streptophyta; Magnoliopsida; Solanales; Solanaceae
Description: long non-coding RNA (NBEN_LNC036649)
Source: RNAcentral